RNAcentral lists this ribosomal RNA (486 nucleotides) under uncultured Planctomycetales bacterium. RNAcentral describes it as "bacterial SSU rRNA". It matches the Rfam family "Bacterial small subunit ribosomal RNA", at positions 156 to 638 of the family's 1533-position model. Lineage: Bacteria; Pseudomonadati; Planctomycetota; Planctomycetia; Planctomycetales. The record is from RNAcentral.
ACCGCGGGUAAUUCCCGGCGACGUCAUCGGGCGGCAUCGCCCGGUGACCACAGGUGCGAUUCCGCCCUGGGACGGGCCGUCGCGGUAUCAGCUGGUUGGCGGGGUAACGGCCCACCAAGGCUGGGACGCCUACCGGGCGUGCGAGCGUGGCCCGGCACACUGGGACUGAGACACUGCCCAGACUCCUACGGGAGGCUGCAGUCGAGAAUCUUCGGCAAUGGGCGCAAGCCUGACCGAGCGACGCCGCGUGGAGGACGAAGGCCUUCGGGUUGUAAACUCCUGUCGAGGGGGAGGAACGGGGCGCGAAGAGCGUCCCUUGACCGAUCCCUGGAGGAAGCACGGGCUAAGUUCGUGCCAGCAGCCGCGGUAAGACGAACCGUGCGAACGUUAUUCGGAAUCACUGGGCUUAAAGCGCGUGUAGGCGGGCCGGCACGUCGGCUGCUGAAAUCCCCCGGCUCAACCGGGGAAGGGGCACCGAUACGACCG